This 384-nucleotide long non-coding RNA is filed under the name Hordeum vulgare. RNAcentral's name for it is "long non-coding RNA (HVUL_LNC015995)". Lineage: Eukaryota; Viridiplantae; Streptophyta; Magnoliopsida; Poales; Poaceae. The record is from RNAcentral.
UCCACGAUGUAUCGCUUAUAAAAAACUAGAAUCUAAAAUACAACAUCAAAGUUUUUAUGAAGCUCUUUUGGAGGGUGUUCCAAAAAACUCUAGAAGAUGGAGUUAGAGAAAAAUUAAUUACCCAUCACUCUUCGUUUAUUCCAUCUUAACCAAUCAAACAGAUUGUUUCCACCAAGUUUUUCUAUUCUUAAAAAUAAGCCAAAUAUUUUCGUUUUUCUAUUCUUAAAAAUAAGCCAAAUAUUUUCUUAAUAGUGCUAUAACAUGUCCUCCUGUCGAAGGUCACCGAAUCGUGCUAUAACAUGUCCUCCCAUCGAAGGUCACCGAAUCCCAGCUCAGGUUGUCUGUGCUAUAACAUGUCCUCCUCGGUGUCUAAAUGCGGUGGNN